GUAUUUGAUUUAAAGGCACAAAGGCCAAUUAAUGACAUUCUAUUACAUUCUUAUGGGGUAUGUAAAAACAUAGACUUGGAUGCAAGGAAAGCGCUGACGCAAUUCCUCAAACCGAGUUUCCUCGAGAGGUAUCCAAGUCUACAAAAGGUGCACAGGUGGUUAAAAAUGGCGCUAGGCGUGCACAUGCUCCAAAGAGCCAGCAACAACCCAACCAAGUUUAUUCAAUAAUGAUCCUUCCGCAGGUUCACCUACGGAAA
Molecule: unclassified non-coding RNA, 257 nt
Filed under: uncultured fungus
Lineage: Eukaryota; Fungi
Description: sequence contains ITS1
Source: RNAcentral